Lolium rigidum is the source of this 222-nucleotide long non-coding RNA. RefSeq lists it as uncharacterized. Lineage: Eukaryota; Viridiplantae; Streptophyta; Magnoliopsida; Poales; Poaceae. The record is from RefSeq and is a predicted model, not a curated record. The transcript is spliced from 3 exons.
CAGCUCUCCAAGUUCAUCCACGCCACUAUUUGGUUUAUGUCGCUCUGCGCCCUUCUGUUGACACAAUCCAAAAGAGUAGCGCAGUGAUCCAAUGACAACAAUGGGCCUCGGCCCAGGUCCUACGUCGGAGAAGCCCAUCAGCAUAGAGGCCACCAGCACCACCUCGCCCGGCGCGGCAGCAUUUGCUUCUUCCCGGAUAGGAUCGCGAAGUGGUGUUGUGAG